AUUUACAUAGUUUAACAAUAAAACAUUACACUUUCAUUGUAAAAAUAAAACUUUUUUUGUAAAUA
This 65-nucleotide transfer RNA is filed under the name Glyptotermes sp. RNAcentral's name for it is "tRNA-Glu". It matches the Rfam family "tRNA". From Rfam's summary of the family: Transfer RNA (tRNA) molecules are approximately 80 nucleotides in length. Their secondary structure includes four short double-helical elements and three loops (D, anti-codon, and T loops). The record is from RNAcentral. RNAcentral also lists the same sequence under 1 other name. Lineage: Eukaryota; Metazoa; Arthropoda; Insecta; Blattodea; Kalotermitidae.